CUUCACCGACCCCAGCCACAACGGCCGGUCCCCCGGCCGGUCCUGACCAUAGGCGGCGAUCAGCGCCUGCGCCUC
Non-coding RNA from Streptomyces caelestis, 75 nucleotides. It matches the Rfam family "ASpks TB sRNA". The record is from Rfam. Lineage: Bacteria; Bacillati; Actinomycetota; Actinomycetes; Kitasatosporales; Streptomycetaceae.